Long non-coding RNA from Amblyraja radiata (thorny skate), 316 nucleotides. RefSeq lists it as uncharacterized. The record is from RefSeq and is a predicted model, not a curated record. The transcript has 3 exons. Lineage: Eukaryota; Metazoa; Chordata; Chondrichthyes; Rajiformes; Rajidae.
UCGCUGUCGCCGGCGGGCGGGUGAGCCCAGCGUUGCCGCGGUGACCGCGGGCCUGAGCGAAGGCCGGGGACUCGCUCAAUCACUCGGCGCCGGGGACAAGGCGGCUGCACCUGCGUUGCCGACAGCCGGACCGCAGUCAUGGUGGAGGAGGUGCAGAAACAUUCGGUACACACGCUGGUAUUCAGAUCUCUAAAAAGAACUCAUGACAUGUUUGUUAGUGAUCAUGCCAAGCCUAUUUCAGCAGAUGAAAAAAGUUACAAGCUCAAGAUGAAUGUGAAGCUACAAACAGAAUACAGUCCUGUACUUCACAUGCCUA